RNAcentral lists this ribosomal RNA (583 nucleotides) under uncultured bacterium. RNAcentral describes it as "partial 16S ribosomal RNA". It matches the Rfam family "Bacterial small subunit ribosomal RNA", at positions 355 to 932 of the family's 1533-position model. The record is from RNAcentral.
UGGGGAAUUUUGGACAAUGGGCGAAAGCCUGAUCCAGCAAUGCCGCGUGUGUGAAGAAGGCCUUCGGGUUGUAAAGCACUUUUGUCCGGAAAGAAAUCCUUGGCUCUAAUACAGUCGGGGGAUGACGGUACCGGAAGAAUAAGCACCGGCUAACUACGUGCCAGCAGCCGCGGUAAUACGUAGGGUGCAAGCGUUAAUCGGAAUUACUGGGCGUAAAGCGUGCGCAGGCGGUUUGCUAAGACCGAUGUGAAAUCCCCGGGCUCAACCUGGGAACUGCAUUGGUGACUGGCAGGCUAGAGUAUGGCAGAGGGGGGUAGAAUUCCACGUGUAGCAGUGAAAUGCGUAGAGAUGUGGAGGAAUACCGAUGGCGAAGGCAGCCCCCUGGGCCAAAUACUGACGCUCAUGCACGAAAGCGUGGGGAGCAAAACAGGAUUAGAUACCCUGGUAGUCCACGCCCUAAAACGAUGUCAACUAGUUGUUGGGGAUUCAUUUCCUUAGUAACGUAGCUAACGCGUGAAGUUGACCGCCUGGGGAGUACGGUCGCAAGAUUAAAAACUUAAAUGAAUUGACGGGGUCAUAGCUG